RNAcentral lists this ribosomal RNA (384 nucleotides) under uncultured bacterium. RNAcentral describes it as "bacterial SSU rRNA". It matches the Rfam family "Bacterial small subunit ribosomal RNA", at positions 29 to 414 of the family's 1533-position model. The record is from RNAcentral.
AUUGAACGCUGGCGGAAUGCUUUACACAUGCAAGUCGAGCGGCAGCGCGGGGGCAACCCUGGCGGCGAGCGGCGAACGGGUGAGUAAUACAUCGGAACAUGUCCAGUCGUGGGGGAGUAGCCCGGCGAAAGCCGGAUUAAUACCGCAUGAGCUCGAGAGAGGAAAGCGGGGGACCGUAAGGCCUCGCGCUAUUGGAUGAGCCUAAGCCCGAUUAGCUAGUUGGUGGGGUAAAGCCUACCAAGGCAAUGAUCGGUAGCUGGUCUGAGAGGGCGACCGGCCACACUGGGACUGAGACACGGCCCAGACUCCUACGGGAGGCAGCAGUGGGGAAUCUUGCGCAAUGGGCGAAAGCCUGACGCAGCGACGCCGCGUGAGGGAUGACGG